Molecule: non-coding RNA, 29 nt
Filed under: Homo sapiens (human)
Lineage: Eukaryota; Metazoa; Chordata; Mammalia; Primates; Hominidae
Source: RNAcentral
GCUGCUUAACCUGGCCUAGAACUUGCUGC